GAUGCAGGUGAGGGCAUCACAGAUGUGAAAACAUUGGAACGAUACAGAGAUCAUCAGGGCCCCUGCACCAGAUGACUUUCACCUUCUUGAAGCACUCCGUAUUUGG
This 106-nucleotide small nuclear RNA is filed under the name Tursiops truncatus (common bottlenose dolphin). The record is from RNAcentral. Lineage: Eukaryota; Metazoa; Chordata; Mammalia; Artiodactyla; Delphinidae.